This 16496-nucleotide long non-coding RNA is filed under the name Lactuca sativa (garden lettuce). RNAcentral's name for it is "long non-coding RNA (LSAT_LNC008643)". Lineage: Eukaryota; Viridiplantae; Streptophyta; Magnoliopsida; Asterales; Asteraceae. The record is from RNAcentral.
UCAUAACAGUUCAUAGUAAGGAAAGUACACACCACCAUACAUAUAAAGGUUUCAAAAUGUUUACAUAAUUGUAUUUGUUACAUGUUCAAAAGAUAAAUACGUAAACAUCUUUCAAAAGAAGUAAUUAACAUCAGAGCGUUAAUCCCCAAAAGUUGGUUUCCAAACCUACUUAGCGGUUUCCUGAGAAUACAAGUUAUUUUAAAGAAAAAGUGUCAACAAUUAAGUUGGUGAGUUCAUAAGCGGUUUUGAGAAAAUGUAUACCAUUCCAAAGUUCGUGUGUUUUCCAAGAAAAUCCCUUAUUUUCUUAUAAAAGUAUGAAAUGCAUAUGAAUGUUCGUGUCAUGAAUUGUAAAUAGUUGUACCAGAAAAAUCCCUUAUUUUCCUAUUAGUUGAUCGUUUUGGAUACAGGAAAAUCCAUUAUUUUCCUAAAGUAACAGCCAGUCUCUAAUGUCCAAGACCGAAAAUCGCAAGCAACCGACAUGCUAAAAGUUUAAGGCAUAGUUUUAUAUAAUAAAGCUAUAAGAAGAUCGCACUCGUUAGAUGAAGAAUAGUUUUAAUAGCUACCCAUUCAUAAAAGCAUAAUACCAUAAUAAUUAUCUAUCCGGUGAGUUUUAUAACCAUACUAAACAAAAUAUGCUUGUUGUGACGGUCUUCAGGCGCCGAAACGUUAUGACAAACUGUCACCCAAAGGACUGUAGCUAACAGUCAGGGCGCAGGAUCAUGACUUUCGUAUAGAUCUAUACACAUUUGACACGCUCUCUUAAUGGGAGACUCUGGUUAUAAUAGACAGGACUUUAGGUAGUACCUUUUAACAAGAAGGUAGCAUUGAAGAUGUAAUCGUCUCAUGGAUUCUCAACUAAGUAUGUAUUAAAAUAAUAGUUUUGUAUGCAAUGUUUAUCCCCUUUCACAAUGUUUGACAAAGCAUAAAUCAUAAGUUCUUUGAAUGCAUAAAAUGGUUUCACAAGGAUUGCUACCCCGGAUACUAUGCAUUUUGUAUAAAUCUAAUGCAUGCAAAGUAUAACAAGAAUUUUCACGUUUUCACUCGGGAUUAACUGGUUGUUUACUUGUAUUCUCUCCCGAAAUGUAUUAAAAGUACAUUAUAAAGUAUUUGAAGGUGUACAAAAGGGGGUAUGAACUCACUUGAUUGAAGUGGUAGCUUGAAGUUGUCGAGAGAAGAAUCGAGCAGAACUUCGACUAGUGAGAGUUAAAUUCUCGGGAAUCUCGGGUGUGUAGUGUUGGAAUAGUGUCUAAGGCUGUAACUAUGUUAGACAAGUAUUUGAUCCGGUUGUGCAUGGUCCUUUUGGGUUGCCUUCACCAUAGCAACUUGAUAGGAUGAUUUAAUAAGAGAGAGUAAAUAUUAUUAAUAUAUUAUGGGAAUAAUAUAAUGAAUAAUAUAUUGUUAUUUGAUUAAUAUAAGUCAUAGAAUUAAUUAGAAUUAAUUUGGUGACUUAAAGAGAUUAAUUAAAUAAAGGGGUAUAAACUGUCAAUUGUUUGAUAGUUAAACUUUGGACUGUAAAUCCAUUUGGAUAUGGUAUGGACGAAUUCUAAGAGAUUUAGGAUAGCUAAAAUCGUCCAUAUGAUUAUCUUAGGAAUGGAUUUGGAUAGCCUUAAGAGAAGAUUAUCUGAUAGGGACUUAUCUGUAAUCCUUAAGGAGUCUACAAGUAUAAAUAGACCCUAUGGCUGAUGGAAUUCGACACUUGACCUAAAGUAAGGAACCUCUGGUCGAAAUUCCUUCCCUCUCCUCUCUCCUAAAUCAUCUUCCUUGCUAUUGGUGUUUGUAAGCCAUUAGAGGAGUGACAUUUGUGACUCUAGAAGCUCCAAGACCUCAAGAUCAACAAGGAACUCAAAGGUAUGAUUCUAGAUCUGUUUCAAUAUUGUUAUUUAACCUAAAUAGUCAUUAGAAGUCUUGGAUUCAAAGCAUGUUUAAUUAGAAAGCCUAGAUCCAAGCAUUAGGGUUUUGCAUGCGCACAUAGGAAAGUUCUUAUGGCUAAAACCCAUCAGUGGUAUCAGAGCCUAGCUUGGUUUUCUGUAAAUUGUUGCUUGAUUAACUGAAACAAACCUGCAAAAUUCGAAUUUUUGGUUUCUGAGUCAUGGACUCGGCGAGUCUCAAAGUGGACUCGGCGAGUAGGCCUGACUCGGCGAGUCCAUUUGUGCACUCGGCGAGUCCAGGCGUCAGGAAUGGCCAGAUUCGGGAUUUCUUUGUGUUUAUCUUAUCUUAACUUACCAUAAACUAAUUAGAUCAACAUUAAUUCGUUUUUCUGAUAAAUAUAACUAUUAUCUUGAUCUAGUUAAAGGUAAUUAUCAACUAAUUAAAUAUUUAAUUUCCUUAUAUGAUAAUUAAUUAAUUAUUUUGAUUAUUUUGGUAAUUAUCUUUAAAAGAAAUCUUGAAUAAAUCAAAUAUAGAUAAUUAGGAUAUUAAUUGUUAAUUGGAAUUAUUUGUUAUUUGAUCCUCCAUGUUUUAAAUGUUUAAAACCUACCCUCAUGUUUUGAAAUUUACUUUUGUGAUUAAAAGUUUUAAUUUAGACAACUUAAAUUUCAAACCCUAGAUUUUAAAAGUUUUAAAAUACAACCCUAUACUAAUAUGAUAUUACUAGAAUAAUAUAUAUAUGUAUAACUAAAUGCUAGUCUUACCGUUAGUAGGCCUCAUUCACGAAGCCGAUCUAUAAGGUGGGUAUAAGGUUGCGGCCUAUAAAAUGGCGCUUAAUGGGUGUACACUCACACCCACCGCUUGCUUGAUUGGUGGAGGGUCGUUAGCCGAACGGGUAGGAUAGGGCAACCUCAUCCUCUCAUUAAAAGUAUAAUAAGAAAUAUAAAGUAACUACAUAUUUUUUUAAAAUUUCCCAAUCCUAGUUACUUUAGGAAAAGUGAAUUGAUGCAAUCCCAUGAAAUUACACUUUGCACCUUGCUAAGAUGUUAGUGGAGCGUGUGUGGUUUACCGGCACACUAAUUGGUUCUAAGCGAAGGUGGCAAAGGGUGAUUCAUUGUUUAUCAUAGUUCGAUGGAGCGUGUGUGGUUUACCGGCACAUCGAAUAGGUGAUCGUUACAAUGAAGGCACCAUGUGAAUUUGCAUGGUAAUUCACACCCGCUUUGUGAUCCUCGGCAUCCCAGUCACAAACAAGAGGGGCAUAUCGAGAUUUAAACAUGCCAUUGAAUAGUUUCAAUGAAUCUCAUCCGAACCUAGGAAUUCUCAAAAACACUUAGGACUAAUAGUUUAAGUUUUGUGAUGGAGAAUUAGUGAAUCGUCAUUCACUUACCUUCAAUUUAUUUGCAUGUUAGAUUACGGCAUCCCUUUUCUAGUAUGUAAAUGUUAUUGUUGGAUCCUAGCCCUAAUUUUCUUAUUGGGUGAUAAUUAGGGAUUCUUAUUCUAAUCUAUCUUUGUCCUUUUCUAAUUGUAGAUGUCGAACGCAAACAACGCUGCUGCUAGUUCUUUCACGUUGAUGAGCCUUUGCCAAAAGGUCACCUUCGAUGGAACGAACUUUAGCGAAUGGAUAAGAUACAUUCGCACCAUUGCUCGCUAUGAGGAUAAGGAGUAUGUCCUCGAUGAGAAGCUCGAGAAAAUCAACCCCGAAAUUGCUACUCCCGCCGAAAUCACCGCCUUUGAAACUCAUGAGCGAGAUGCAACGAAGGUACAUUGCAUCAUGAUCGCCACCAUGAACUCCGAAUUCCAAAAGUCCUACGAGGACAUGUACCCGUACGAGAUGCAUCAAGACUUAUUGGAGAGGUACCACCAAAACGCGAGACAAGAGAGGUACGAGAUUUUCACUAACAUGAUUUCCGCGAAGAUGGGUCAUGGAGAAUCUCUUACCGUGCACUUGCAAAAGAUGCAAAGGUAUGUUGACCGCCUCCGCAAGUUAAAUGUUGACUUCGGUGAAGACUUGGCGAUCGACAUGGUGCUUCACUCUUUGCCUCCGAUGUACAACCAAUUUAGGAUGACCUACCACAUGAACAAAGAAGAGGUCACCCUAAGCAAGCUCCAAGGUCUCUUGAGGGUUGCUGAGAGCAACUUCAAAGACAAGUCUGUUGCACCUACUCCCAAUCCGCCCGCUGCUCCUGUCUUGGCUAUUGGACAAGGGAAGGGAAAGAAGAGGAAAGCUUCAUCGAAGAACUAUCGCAAGGUGAAAGCCCGAGAUGGUGCCUCUUCUAGUGGGACCAAAGUUGAUCCCGCCAAGCCCUGCUCUAACCCGAAGGAGGCAGAGUGCCACCACUGCCACAAGAUAGGACAUUGGAAGAGAAGCUGCCCGGAUUACCUGCAAGCAAUCAAAGAAGGAAAGAUCAAGCCAUCUUUCGCAGGUAUAUAUACAAUCAAAUCUAACGAUUCUAAUCAUGCUAUUUCUUGGGUUCUUGAUACCGGUUGUGGUUAUCACAUUUGUUCUAAUGUGCAGGGACUAAGAAGAAGUAGGGAUGUGGAGCAAGGAAGGAUCAAUCUAAUCAUGGGGAACAGAAGAUCGUCGCCUGUGACCAAGAUUGGAGUGUAUUCCUUAGUGCUUAGGAAUAGUUUAGUUUUAGAUUUGAACAAUUGUUGCUAUUCGCCAGAAAUGGCAAGAAACAUCAUUUCAUUUCAUGGUUUAUAUAGACAAGGAUUUAGAUUUUCUUUUAAUAAUGAGAAUGGUUCUAUUUUGGCUUAUCUAAAUGGUGUCUUUUACUUUGAAGCUAUACCAUGUAAUGGAAUAUAUGAAACCGUUAUGAUUGUUGAUAACUUAGGAAAUGAUGUUUUGAAUAUUGAUUCUUCCACUAGUAUGGAUAAAGCAUCCUUGUGGCAUUGUCGUCUUGGACAUGUCAACAAGAAACGCAUAGCCCAACUCCAAAAGGAUGGAGUGUUGGAGUCAUUCGACCUUAGGGAAGAUGACACAUGCGAGUCUUGUUUGCUUGGAAAGAUGACUAAGUCACCCUUCACGAGUACAUGUGAAAGGGGCGAGGGUCUAUUGGACCUAAUACAUACCGAUGUAUGUGGACCGUUUAGAUCAACCACGAAGGAUGGGAACCGCUUCUAUGUGACUUUUACCGAUGACUAUAGUAGAUAUGGGUAUAUCUACUUAAUCAAGCAAAAGUCAGAAACCUUUGAAAAGUUCAAAGAGUUCAAGAAUGAAGUGGAGAAUCAAUUGGGCAGGAAAAUCAAGAUGCUUCGAUCCGAUCGAGGAGGAGAGUACCUAAGUCUUGAAUUCCACGAUUAUCUCAAGGAGUGUGGAAUAGUUUCGCAAUUGACGCCUCCUAGGACACCGCAGUUGAAUGGUGUGGCAGAAAGGCGUAAUCGAACCUUAUUGGAUAUGGUUCGCUCUAUGAUGAGUCGUGCUUCACUACCUAUCUCUUUUUGGGGGUAUGCCUUAGAGACUGCCGCCCAUAUCCUUAACCGAGUCCCUACUAAGAAGGUUGCCAAAACACCUCACGAGAUGUGGACAGGGAAAGCUCCCUCGUUGGCACAUAUCAAGGUUUGGGGUUGCGAGGCUUUCGUAAGACGAGAUACUCACGACAAGCUUGAACCUCGAAGUGAGCGAUGUAUUUUCAUCGGCUACCCGCAGACAUCCUUUGGAUAUCUCUUCUAUAGACCGAAGGACAAUGUUGUCUUCGUUGCGAGGAGAGGAGUUUUCCGAGAGCGAGAACUCAUAAGCCAAGGAGACAGUGGGAGGCAAAUCGAGCUUGAAGAGAUUCAAGAGUCGAUAGAUGAAGGAACCUCUACCGCUGGCACUCAACCCGAGGAGGAAACUCCGGUUGAACCGAUUGACGAAUCCUUACCUCUUAGACGUUCCGAUAGAGUUAGAGUUCAACCCCAGUUUUAUGGUUUUCAUAUUACUACCGAAGGGGACACGUAUAUUAGUGAUGGUACACUAAUAAAUCUUGAUGAACCUAAUAGCUAUAAGGAAGCCAUGGCAGGCCCGGAGUCUGCAAAAUGGAAAGAGGCAAUGGAUAGCGAGAUCCAAUCCAUGUAUGAUAACCAAGUUUGGAAUUUGGUUGAUUAUGUGCCCGGACGUAAGACCGUUGGGUGCAAAUGGAUCUUCAAGAAGAAGACCGACGUGGAUGGAAACGUACACACAUAUAAAGCGCGAUUGGUUGCGAAGGGCUUUACUCAAACUCCCGGAGUUGACUAUGAUGAGACCUUCUCACCAGUUGCGAAGAUUAAAUCUAUUAGAGUGAUGCUAGCAAUUGCCGCAUUUCAUGAUUAUGAGAUUUGGCAAAUGGAUGUCAAGACCGCUUUCCUUAACGGAAAGUUGGCUGAGGAUGUUUACAUGGCUCAGCCAGAGGGGUUUGUGGAUCCGAAGCAUCCGAAUAGAGUGUGUAAGCUUGAGAAGUCCAUUUAUGGACUUAAGCAAGCGUCUCGCAGAUGGAAUCUUUGCUUCGAUGAGAAAGUCAAAGAGUUUGGAUUUGUACGAAGCGAAGACGAAUCUUGUGUAUAUGUCAAAGCCAGUGGGAGUAUAGUAAGCUUCCUCGUUCUAUAUGUCGAUGACAUAUUACUCAUAGGAAACGACAUCCCGACUCUGCAGGAGGUAAAGUCCUGGCUCGGGAAGUGUUUCGCUAUGAAGGACCUCGGAGAGGCUUCUUACAUUUUGGGAAUAAGGAUAGUAAGAGAAAGAAGUAAGAGACUAAUUGGACUUAGUCAGAAUACUUACUUAGAGAAGGUACUAAAACGUUUUAGUAUGGAAAACUCAAAGAAGGGAGAACUACCGAUACAAAGUAAUGCCAAAUUGAGUAAGACUCAAAGUCCGAGUACCGAAGCUGAGAUAGCAGAAAUGAGCCGAGUACCAUACGCUUCCGCAGUUGGCUCAAUCAUGUACGCUAUGACUUGUACUCGCCCUGAUGUAGCCUUCGCUUUGAGCAUGGUUAGCAGAUAUCAAGGGAAUCCUGGCAAAGCACAUUGGAUUGCGGUGAAGAAUAUCCUUAAGUACCUUCGGAGGACGAAGGAAUGGUUCUUAGUCCUCGGAGGGAGUGAUGACUUGAAGGUGCGAGGGUAUAGUGACGCCAGUUUUCAGACCGACAGGGACAACUACCGUUCGCAGUCGGGCUGGGUCUUUACCCUAAAUGGAGGAGCAGUGACAUGGAAGAGUUCCAAGCAGGAAACCGUAGCUGAUUCAACGUGCGAAUCAGAGUACAUUGCAGCGAGCGAAGCGUCGAAGGAGGCAAUAUGGCUAAAGAACUUCAUCGGUGAUCUUGGAGUCGUACCUGCCAUAAAGGAGCCAAUGGAGAUUUUCUGUGAUAACGAAGGUGCGGUUGCCUUGACCAAGGAACCGAGGGAUCAUGGUAGAUCAAGACAUAUCGACAGAAAAUAUCACUUCAUUAGACAUCGUGUAGAAGAAGGACAACUCGUAGUGAAGAGGAUAUCAUCAGAAGAUAACCCAGCAGAUCCGCUUACGAAGGGACUGAGUAGGGUUAAGCACUUGCAGCAUGCUAGGAGUAUUGGGCUGAAGGAUGAUAUUAGCAUAGAUUAGAUAGUAUUAGAAACGUGUAAUAGAUAAAUGUAAUUGACAUUUGAUGAUUAAAUAAAGGAGUUUUAUUUAUGAGUAAUGUUACUAUCUUAUGUUAAUUGUUUAGCUAUUGUUUCACUUUGCAUGUUUUGACUUCCAGAAUAAUUGAGUUUAUUAGGAAUAAUCGAAUUAUUCAAAUGGUCCACAAUCGUUCAUAUGUUGGGAGUAGAUAUGAAAGAAGAUUGUCAUGAAUUGGUGUGUAGAAUGUCUAAAUGGUGUUAGACAUAGCAAAGGAUUGCUGCAACGUUCAUGAGUGCUUAUGAACUAGUUUUGAGCAUUGGAAUAAACCCACGCUUGCUGGAAUCACCUUAUGGAAUACGAUAUAAAAGGUGAUCGCAAGACGAUAAUAUCAUAUAGUCUUAAAACCUAGAUAUAUGGUUUAUUAUUUGUUAAUUGAUUGUACAUUGAUAAUACGAAAACGCAUCAGUAACUUGGUGUUAUAAAACGUAUUGUUGUGUAUAGUUGGUUAAUGAAUAAGUAAAUGCAUAUAAGUCGAAGUUUAUCUGUAACUUUUAUCUAAGAAGGUAAAAGCGAUAUCUCGGCCGCUCGAUGAUUUGAUUUGACUUAUGUGCCGGGCCCGGUCAGAACUGAAUUGAUGUGUUCGAUUAAGUUCUAUGUCAAAUAAAUCAGAGAUCGAGAAACCUAAAUGCUUGACUAACCAUUCCAUAGGAUUGUCAGCAUGAUAUCUAACAGAGGACUGUACGUUCCCUUAUCUAAAGGACAAGAUUGAUUAGAUCAGAGUUUGACAGCGUCUUUGAGAGCUACGAUUGCAAACCGAAUUGUACUUGUAUAGUUACUAGACUUAUCCAAGUGGGAGACUGUUGGAAUAGUGUCUAAGGCUGUAACUAUAUUAGGCAAGUAUUUGAUCCGGUUGUGCAUGGUCCUUUUGGGUUGCCUUCACCAUAGCAACUUGAUAGGAUGAUUUAAUAAGAGAGAGUAAAUAUUAUUAAUAUAUUAUGGGAAUAAUAUAAUGAAUAAUAUAUUGUUAUUUGAUUAAUAUAAGUCAUAGAAUUAAUUAGAAUUAAUUUGGUGACUUAAAGAGAUUAAUUAAAUAAAGGGGUAUAAACUGUCAAUUGUUUGAUAGUUAAACUUUGGACUGUAAAUCCAUUUGGAUAUGGUAUGGACGAAUUCUAAGAGAUUUAGGAUAGCUAAAAUCGUCCAUAUGAUUAUCUUAGGAAUGGAUUUGGAUAGCCUUAAGAGAAGAUUAUCUGAUAGGGACUUAUCUGUAAUCCUUAAGGAGUCUACAAGUAUAAAUAGACCCUAUGGCUGAUGGAAUUCGACACUUAACCUAAAGUAAGGAACCUCUGGUCGAAAUUCCUCCCCUCUCCUCUCUCCUAAAUCAUCUUCCUUGCUAUUGGUGUUUGUAAGCCAUUAGAGGAGUGACAUUUGUGACUCUAGAAGCUCCAAGACCUCAAGGUCAACAAGGAACUCAAAGGUAUGAUUCUAGAUCUGUUUCAAUGUUGUUAUUUAGCCUAAAUAGUUAUUAGAAGUCUUGGAUUCAAAGCAUGUUUAAUUAGAAAGCCUAGAUCCGAGCAUUAGGGUUUUGCAUGCGCACAUAGGAAAGUUCUUAUGGCUAAAACCCAUCAUGUAGAACUUCCUUCGGAUCUUGAGUAUGAAAACCGGGGUGUCAGGAUGGCUUCGAGUGGAAAAACGCAGAGCAAAAUCACGGGAAAAGAGAAGAACUGAACAAAAAACUCGGAACCCUAGCCUCCCUUUUAUAGGAGGCUGAACCGCCUCCAUACGCUGGGCGUAUGCUCUUAUGCGGGGCGUAGCGUACGUCAAUGCUUUCGUCAGCCUCCUGAAGGACGAUGGGAUGUCUGCUGCUGAAGGGACUACGCCCUUAUCACUUGGUACGCUGGGCGUACCCCUUUACGCUGGGCGUAAAUCGAUUUCCAGAAUUUCUAAAUUUCGUAACUCCUGCGUACGAGCUCCGUUUCUGGCAUUCUUUAUAUCCACGCGUAGGUGAGACUGUACUCUACAACUCCCAUUUAGACUCUGUCGGCUAGCUUUGACUUUAUAUUUAUUAUAUUACUUUUAGUAGACCGGGUCAGGAAAAGUUCGUUUAAAUUCCAUAACUUCCACAUACGAAGUCAGAUUUGGGCGUUCUUUUUAUGUAUGUUCGCGGUUUAAUGAUAUCUACGACUUUCAUUUUGAUACCUAAGGCUAAAAAGUAUUUUAUUGAAAUUUCUAGUUUUAUGUUUAACAACGCUUUACCGGUAGUGUUACGAAUCUUUGAUUGGUCAUAACUCCUUCGUUAUAACUCGGAUUUUAGUGUUCUUUAUAUUUUUGAAAACCUUAUCACGAUAUCUACCACAUAGUGUACUCAAACGGAGCUUUUUGAACAUUUCAUUUUCGAUGAUAUUCUUAUUACUUCACAAAGAGAUUACAAGACUCGAGCUUUAGACAUUACAUUGACCUAAAAUAACGGGUUGUUACAUCAUCCCCCUGUUAGAGAGAAUUUUUUCCCGAAAUUAAUUAUGAAAUAAGUGCCAAUGGACUAGGGAAGAGAUGCGGGUACUUUUUUUGCAUCUGAUCUUCUGGCUCCCAAGUGAAUUCAGGUCCUCGCUUAGCAUUCCAGCGAACCUUCACUAUUGGUAUGCGACUCUGUUUAGUUCGUUUGAUUUCCCUAUCCAUUAUCUCGGCAGGUUCUUCCACAAAGUUAAGAAUUUCGUUAUGUUCGAUUUCAUCGAGUGGAAUCGCAAGAGUUUCGUCGGAAAAACACUUUUUCAGGUUCGAUACGUGGAACACUAUAUGUACUUUGUUAAGCUCGAUUGGAAGUUGAAGUCUGUAAGCCACUGGACCAAUCCUUGAAGUAAUUUCGAAGGGUCCAAUGUACCUUGGAUUUAGUUUUCUACGCUUCCCAAAGCAUAUCAUGCCCUUCCAGGGUGAGACCUUCAGUAGAACGUGGUCAUCAACCUGGAAUUCCAAGGGUUUUCGUCUUUUGUCGGCAUAGCUCUUUUGCCUAUCCCUAUAGGUUUUUAGACGCUCUCGAAUUUGGACGAUCUUUUCAGUUGUUUCCCUAAUGAUCUCCAGGCUGGUGACAAUGCUAUCAGGGACUAGACCCUUUUCCAACUGUGUGUCGCCCACUUCCGUCCAGCACAGAGGUGAUCUGCACUUACGGCCGUAAAGGGCUUCAAAUGGAGCAGUCUUGAUACUAGUAUGAUAACUGUUGUUGUAAGAGAACUCGACUAAUGGUAAGUGUACAUCCCACGCUUUACCAAAGUCAAUUACACAUGAUCGCAACAUGUCUUCUAGACUUUGGAUCGUUCUCUCACUCUGUCCGUCAGUUUGUAGGUGAUAGGCUAUACUCAUAUCCAACCUUGUUCCCAUAGAUUUUUGCAACAAUUGUCAGAAUCUGGAAGUGAAUCUACUAUCUCUGUCCGAGAUGAUAGACAUCGGCACUCCAUGAAGUCGCACGAUCUCUCGGAUGUUGCUUCUCUUUAGCUUUUCCAUCUUAUCAGUUUCCUUGAUCAGUAAGAAAUCAGCAGACUUGGUUAGUCUGUCGACGAUCACCCAAAUGGUAUCGUGACCAUCCUAAGUCUUGGGUAGUUUUGUUAUGAAGUCCAUGGAAAUCUGUUCCCAUUUCCACUCAGGUAUUUCGGGUUGAUGGAGUAGACCUGAGCGCAUUUGGUGUUCUACUUUUAUCUUGGCGCAAGUCAAGCACUUGCUCACAUAGGUAGCAAUUUUUGUUUUCAUGUUUGGCCACCAGUAGAGUUUUUUGAGAUUCAGAUACAUCUUAUCUGAACCUGGGUGUACGGAGUAUGGAGUCUUGCGUGCUUCGUUCAUAACUAUCUCUCUAAACCCACCAAACUUUGGUGUCCAGAUUCAGUUCAUCAGGUAGCGUACUCCGUCACUCUUGAUCUCUAGAUUCUUGUCCAUCCCUCUAAGGGUUUCACCUAUCACAUUUUCGGGUUUCAAGGAUUCUAUUUGAGCUUCCUUGAUCUGUGUCGACAGAUGCGAAUGGAUCAACAUGGUUAAUGACUUCACUCUUCGACCAGAGUACUCCUUACGACUAAGGGCAUCAGCCACCACAUUCGCCUUUCCCGGAUGGUAACGAAUCUCACAUUCGUAGUCGUUGAGCAAUUUGACCCAAUGUCGUUGUCUAAUGUUUAACUCCUUCUGGUCGAAUAUGUGUUGAAGGCUCUUGUGGUUUGUGAAGAUAGUGCACUUGGUACCGUAUAGGUAGUGCCUCUAGAUUUUCAGAGCGAAGACCACUGCUCCAAGUUCUAAGUCAUGAGUGGUGUAGUUGACUUCAUGUGUUUUCAAUUAUCGUGAGGCAUACGCAAUAACCUUUCCUCGCUGCAUUAGCACACAACCCAACCCUUGAUUCGAAGCAUCGCAAUACACCACAAAAUCUUCGAUCCCCUCUGGACGAGAAAGAAUGGGUGCACUGCGCACGACCUAUUUCAGAGUCUGAAAUGAAACAUCUUGCUUUUCUCCCCGGUUGUAGGUCACACCUUUCUGAGUUAGGGAGGUAAGAGGCUUUGCGAUGCUGGAGAAGUUCUGAAUGAACCUUCGAUAAUAACCACAAGGCCUAGAAAUUGGCGAAUCUCCGUUGGUGUAGUUGGUGCAGACCAAUUUUNGCCUUGAUUUAGAUGGGUCCACGUGGAUUCCUUCUUCGCUGACCACGUGACCUAGGAAGUCCACCUUCCUAAUACAAAACUCUCAUUUUGAGAACUUCGCAUAAAGUCUCUUAGCUCGUAAUGUCUUUAAGACUUGUCUUAAAUGUUGACCAUGCUCUUCUUUACUCUUUGAAUAAAUAAGUAUGUCAUCUAUGAAUACUAUCACAAAUUUAUCCAAUAAUGGACGACAUACCCGAUUCAUUAAGUCCAUGAAAACGGCAGGGGCAUUGGUUAGUCUGAACGGCAUCACUGCAAACUCGUAAUGCCCGUAUCUUGUUCGGAAGACCGUCUUGGGAAUAUCACUCUCCCGGACUCGCAGCUGGUGAUAUCCCGAUCUCAGAUCGAUCUUGGAGAAUUAGUUGGCUCCUUGGAGUUGGUCAAAUAAGUCGUCGAUUCGUGGUAGGGGUAUCGGUUCUUAAUGGUAAGUUUGUUGAGCUCUUGGUAGUCGAUGCACAUCCUAAAUGAUCCAUCCUUCUUUUUCACAAACAACACUGGUGCUCCCUAAGGCGAGAAGCUCAGCCUGAUAAAUCCUUUGCUGAAUAGCUCAUUCAGUUGGCUGGAUAGCUCCUGCAUCUCCGCUGGGGCUAAUUGAUAGGGCGCUUUGGCUACCGGGGUAGCUCAGGGAAUCAGAUCGAUUCUGAAUUCGACUUGUCUCGCGGGUGGUAUUCCUGGAAGAUCUUCGGGAAAAACAUCAAGAAACUCGCAUUCGUCAAGCAUGCUCUUGAUCUCAUGGACUUCGCGUUUCACAUCCACGACAUGUCCUAAAAACGCAUGGCAUUCCUUGCAUAGGCACUUUUGCGCUUGGAUACACGAGAUAAUACGAAGAGUGGUACUGGGUUUUUCGCCAUAGAUAAUGAGGGUUUCGCCGGUUGGCAGAUUAAGGCGAACGCCUUAUCGUAACAUAAAAUUUAUGCAUGAUGAGAACUCAGCCAAUCCAUGCCUAUGAUGACAUCGAAACUCUUAAUCGAGACUGGCAUGAGGCAGAUUGGAAAGGGAUUAUUGUUUAGAGUUAGUGUACAGCUUAAGUAUAUCUCCUUAGUGCCUUCUAUUUUACGGUUGGUAAUUUCUACUAUAAACGGUUCACUUAAUGAUUGGGGUGUUUGUUUCAGCAGGCCCUUAAAAUUAUGACUCACAAAACUCCUCUUCGCUCCACUAUCAAAUAAAAUGCAUGCAUACGAGUUAUCGAGAAGAAAUGCACCCGUAACAACAGUGGGGUCUGCAACGGCUUCAUCUUGUCCCAUUUCAAACACUCGGCCCCUUCCACCGGUAUUCCUGUUGUUUGCCUUCUGGCAGUCCCUGCGGUAGUGCCCCGUGGCUCCGCACUCAAAGCAGGCGCGACUUACUCCGGCAUUUGCAGUGGGGGCGGCUUGUUGGGCUGGCUCCUUGCAGAAGCAGACCGUAUGCCCCUUCUUAUUGCACCUGGUGCAUUGGAAGUCACUGCAAGGACCGUGGUGGUGGAAGUUGCAUUGGUUGCAAUUCAGAAAUCUCCCACUGUAUGAACUCGUAGGUGCAGUGGUGGUAGGAACAGUAACAGUGUGAGCCGCUACCCCUUGUUGUUUCUUGGGGUUCCCCUAUAGGUUUUGCCCCAUUCUCUUGUUCCAAGGCCUUCCCUGGCCAUAUACCUCCUUUGAUGGAUCGGCAGUAGCUGCAAUAGUACCCUGCUUGACCCCGUGGUCGAUGAGUCACUGAGACAGGUGCUUUGCGUUGCUGAAAGUGAUAGGGUUGGAGGCCAAGACGUGACCUUGAAUCUGGGGUGACAACCCCCAAAUGUACCUCUCAACCUUUUUCGGUUCUGGGUUGACCAUGGUAGGGCACAAGGCAGAAAGGUCACUGAACCUGGCCCUAUAGGCUACUAGGUCAGACCCAGUCAUCUUCAGAUUCUAGAGCUCCUGCUCUAGCUUUUGUAUCUCGCCCCUUGGGCAGUGUUUGUCCAGUAGUAGGACCUUCAAGUCCUCCCAACUUAUGGCGUUGGCGACGGUGAGAGUCACGGACUUCACAUGGCUUUUCCACCAGGUGAGGGCUCGAUCAGUGAGGGUGCAAACGGCGAACUUGACUAUGCUCGCUUCUUGGCAAGAGCAGAUCUCAAAGACCGUUUCGGUCUUUUCGAACCAUUGCAUCAGUGCAAUGACUCCCAAUGUGCCAUUAAAAGUUUUUGGAUUUGCAUUGGAGAACUCCUUGUAAGUACAUUCCCUUACAUGACCAUGACCAGUGCCAUGGUCAGAAUGAUUCGUGUUGCUUUCUGCCCCUCCAUUUCCGUUGGAGUUUAUUUGCGAGAGGGCAGCGGUUACUGCUGCUGUGAUAGCAGCCUGGACCAUGGCCGGAUCAUAAGCUAGUGGUGGAGGUUGUGAUGGUGUCGUGCCCGGUCUGGGUCUUAGGUUUGGACGAGGAGGCAUCGUGCUGCCAAGAAUUAAAAAUGAAAGAUUAUUAGUUUUGGUGGUUGAGGAUUGAAUGAUAAUGAGUUAACUAUCUUUAAUAGUUCAAGAAUUUGGUUUGACCUACACAGGGCUUUGAGUUUGAUUCACAAAUGGAGUUUGAAUAGCAAUAGAUAAACUGAUGAACUCGAAUGAAAUGCAAAUAAUUAACACACGAAAGAGAUAUGCCCUAUAUAUAUAUAUAUAUAUAUAUAUAUAUGUAUAUGAGNUGCACAUAAUUAACAUACGAAAGAGAUAUGCCCUAUAUAUAUAUAUAUAUUAAACAUAUGGUUGCGUUACAUCCGAAGUUAGAAAAAAAAUUGACCUUUUUAAAGGUCUCCGAUUACAGAAAGUUAUAGAAAGUAAGACUUUUAGCCGAUGGUCCUAUUCUAUAUCAAAAUUUGGGAGUUAGGUGAGCACUACUCGCAGUGCGGAUUGCGCUUGGAGCUUGACUCCGCAUCCGAUUGCUUGGCUCCCAUGAGACGCCUGUCAAAGGCAGCUUGUUGCUCCCUCAAAUCCAUCAUUUCGGAGAGCGCUGCAGUCAUUUGCUCCUGGAGGAAGUUGGUGUGGAGUUGAGCAUUCCCUUGUAGCAUGUCUAGACGACGGAUAUCAGCUGCGUUAUCCUCCAUACUUAUGUCAACCUCAUGAAUCUGGUUUUCUUGGACUCCGGAUUGAUAAGCCUGAUUGGCAAGUUUGCCUACCAUAACUGGGAGUUCUCGAUUAGCUAAACUUCCUCCGCUGACAUCGUAGAAGUCCCGACACAUACCGUAAGGAGGACGCAGUCCUUGCUGCUGGCUCCAAUGGUGGAUGUGGCUUCCCCAGACGGGAGUUGGUCCUUGAAAUCCCAUCCUGAAAGGAGGUCGAAUGGAUGGAGGUCGGGCGGCUGGUAUAUUGAUUACCUUAGGCUCUGAGGCUGAGCUAUAUGAAUCUUCCUCCUCCUCAUCUUCCAUGGGUUCUUCCUCGGGGUCGUCUUCAAUCCAUCCCCCAUUACCUUGGUUGGGGUAGUAGGGGUCGUCGGGGUGAUGGAAUCCAGCCAUUGAGUUUAUACGAGAAUAGGGUUAAGAAUUGACUAUAAGCUAAAGCAUGUAAAAUUUACCCUUAAGUUUGACGGUUGAAGAUACCCAAAUACUCCCAUAUUAUUCUUAAUGAUAUGAUCUUGGUAAGUUUUAAAUUUGUUGUCCACUGCAGACACUCCCUGGCAUACGUUAGUCGGCUCUCGGACAAAUAUAGUUGAUCAGACUAUAUUCAUCCCAGUUCCAAUUACAUGUCCCAAGGCACACCUGCACUGCACAAUUUAUUUAUAACACUUCUAUAUUGAUCUCUUUAUGACAAUGUUAUUAAUAUGAAAUGAAUGCAUGCCUACGUUACAAAAAUUAAACAAAUUUAAUUUUUUUUAAAGUAUGACACUUACUCAGAGUGUUUUUGCCUAGUUGUAUUUAUAGUUGUAUACCAAAAAUGAUUUUGAUAUACUUAAUUCACUAUAAACAUCGCCAUGAUACCAAUCUGUCACACCCCCAAACCAAAAUGGCGGAAAGGUUCGGGGGAGGAGGACAUCAUAUUCAGUAUCAUAACAGUUCGUAGUAAGGAAAGUACUCACCACCAUACAUAUAAAGGUUUCAAAAUGUUUACAUAAUUGUAUUUUUUACAUGUUCAAAAGAUAAAUACAUAAACAUCUUUCAAAAGAAGUAAUUAACGUCAGAGCGUUAAUCCCCAAAAGUUGGUUUCCAAACCUGCUUAGCGGUUUCCUGAGAAUACAAGUUAUUUCAAAGAAAAAGUGCCAACAAUUAAGUUGGUGAGUUCAUAAGCGGUUUUGAGAAAAUGUAUACCAUUCCAAAGUUCGUGCGUUUUCCAAGAAAAUCCCUUAUUUUCUUAUAAAAGUAUGAAAUGCAUAUGAAUGUUCGUGUCGUGAAUUGUAAAUAGUUGUACCAGGAAAAUCCCUUAUUUUCCUAUUAGUUGAUUGUUUUGGAUACAGGAAAAUCCCUUAUUUUCCUAAAGUAACAGCCAGUCUCU